Long non-coding RNA from Cebus imitator (Panamanian white-faced capuchin), 953 nucleotides. RefSeq lists it as uncharacterized. The record is from RefSeq and is a predicted model, not a curated record. Lineage: Eukaryota; Metazoa; Chordata; Mammalia; Primates; Cebidae. The transcript is spliced from 4 exons.
CAGCCUCCCAAAGUGCUGGGAUUACAGGCCUGAGCCACCGCGCCCGGCCGUUCCUUGUUGUUUUUAAAAAAUUACAGCUGAUCUGAUGGAUAAAAAGAGGAAAUCAAUGAGGCUGGAGAGAAAAGGGCGAAUGGCUGAGGGGACGCCUGUGAGUUGACGAGAAGGACCAGGAGCUGGUAAACCAAAGAGGUGGCUCAGGCAGCCAGUGUCCCAUGGAAAGGGGUCAACUUGGAAGUGGCUCCUUCAGCCCCCAGGGAGCCUUCAGAUGAGGCAGCCCCGGCGACAGCUUGACUGCAGCCUCGUGAGACACUCAAAGCCAGAAACAUCCAGAUAUCCUGCUCCCCGACUCCCGACCCACAGGAAAGGGACCAAGUGCUGUAGGGUGCCUUCCAGCAUCCUUGGCCUCCUCCCAACUACCUGACUGGAUGUCCCCUGCUCACGCCACCCCCAACCCGUGACAGCCAAAACUGACGCCUGGGGCGGGACCCAGCGCCUAGUGGAGAAAUGGCGCUCAGCCGACGGUCGGAAACAGCAGUGGGGAAAUGGCGCUCAGCGGACGGUCAUUUCCCACCGUCUUGCCUCCUGCCUUCUGGUUUUGGUCUCUCUGGCUGCAGACCAGCAGCUGUGCACCUGUGGUUCUACUGCCGUGCCCACUUUCCGGAGAGGUGAUGAGACAUCGUGAGAGCCUGAAGCACAGGACAGAGGAGCAGAAUUCAGUGUCACACGUGCCUCUGCUGCCCGGGAGGAGGAGAGACCACGGGUCGGGGUAGGAUGUGGAUGAGAGGCGGAGGAGAGAAAAGAACACGCGUGUCCACACAAACACGUGCACACCCACAUCCGGAGCAGCACGACUCACAACAGCCAAAAAGCAGAGGCAACCCAAGCAUCCAGCCACGAGAUGAGGUCCCGCUCUGUCGCCCAGGCUGGAGUGCAAUGGCGAGAUCUUGGCUCAC